GCAACUCGCCUGCAUGAAGCUGGAAUUGCUAGUAAUCGCGGAUCAGCAAGCCGCGGUGAAUACGUUCCCGGGCCUUGUACACACCGCCCGUCACACCAUGAGAGUCGGGAACACCCGAAGUCCGUAGUCUAACCGCAAGGGGGGCGCGGCCGAAGGUGGGGUUGAUGAUUAGGGUUAAGUCGUAACAAGGUACC
RNAcentral lists this ribosomal RNA (194 nucleotides) under uncultured bacterium. RNAcentral describes it as "partial 16S ribosomal RNA". It matches the Rfam family "Bacterial small subunit ribosomal RNA", at positions 1307 to 1500 of the family's 1533-position model. The record is from RNAcentral.